AGCUUCUGAUUCCAGUUUCACUGUUUCCUUGGCUGGUUCACUUAUACCAGUUACCUGUGAAGGUUUCUCAGCUUCUGAUCCUAGUUUCACUGUUUCCUUGGCUGGUUCACUAACACUAGUUACCUCUAAAGGUUUCUCAGAUUCUGAUGUUAGUCUAACUGUUUCCUUGGCUGGUUCACUUAUACCAGUUACCUGUGAAGUCUUAAAUUCUUGUUUUGGGGAUUCGUUGCUUUUACUUUCCUCGGACAGCUUCUGCUCUGGUUUUGGAGAUUCUGGUUUAACUAUUGGCUCAUUGGUUUUAGCAUCCUCAGCAGACGCUUCUUUCACAGUCUCCUCCACUGUGGUUUUCUCAUUUUCUGUGGAAACAUCAGAAUCUUUAUUCUGCAAAACACACAAAGUUAUAAACUAGAAAAGAUAAGAAAGAGCUAAGGAAUGACAUUGUGGAUAAGCUGCGUGCUAAGUUAAAAAUAGUCUGUUCAGAAUGGUUGGAUAACGAUCAUGUAGGAACUUAUGCAGAAAUUUUAUUAUAUUCCUUCUUUUCUUCCGCCUUUUUCAUUUAUUGAUUUAUGAUGUUAAAUUUGAAACUUGCUGUGGUGAAUUCAAAGUUCUUACUGGC
This is a long non-coding RNA of Vigna radiata var. radiata (mung bean), 616 nucleotides long. RefSeq lists it as uncharacterized. The transcript has 2 exons. The record is from RefSeq and is a predicted model, not a curated record. NCBI's taxonomy places the organism in Eukaryota, Viridiplantae, Streptophyta, Magnoliopsida, Fabales, Fabaceae.